AUGCUACAUGAGGAAAAGGCGGCAGCCAUCAAAAGAUUAAAUAAGAAGGGACAAUUGCCUACAGAACUAACAGAAAUGGAUGAGGAUGGUAACCGCUGGCCAACUAAGGAAGCUUUAAUUUCUACAAAGAGAGUUGACUUCGAUACAGACGUUGGUUGGCGUCUACUAUGUGAGCACUGGAGUAGUACUGAAUUUAGAGGGUUAUCUUUAACCAACAAGAUGAACAGACUUGCUAAUGGGGACGCAGUCUUCCAUUGCAAUGGUGCUAGAAAUGUUGUCGCCACACGUCAAUUUCUGAAACUCAAAACCGGUAAAGACCCUAGAAUUUCUGGUGCUUGGCUUCACACACACAAAUUGCAUCGAGGGACUGAUGAAGAGCGGAUAUGCAGUCAAAGAACUGUUGAUCGUUGGGAGGAUUUUGAUAAGGCAAUGAAAAAUGCCCAUGGAGAAAAUUGGGAAAAGGAGCAUCCGGAUUUAGAUGGACAAAUCAUCUACGAAGCAGCAGGUAGAAUGCCACAUGGCAGGCUGGGAAUUGCUAAUGAGUUGUUUAGCAAAGCAGAGAAGGCGAAGUUUAAGUCUAAAAGGGCGCCUCACAACUGGUGCAGUCUGCUAAGGAGGAGCGUCUAG
Molecule: ribosomal RNA, 627 nt
Filed under: Triticum aestivum (bread wheat)
Lineage: Eukaryota; Viridiplantae; Streptophyta; Magnoliopsida; Poales; Poaceae
Description: partial small subunit ribosomal RNA
Source: RNAcentral